CAAAGCAAGAAUGGGUUUUGGCUCCAGAGGGUGUGGGGCUAGGAAGGGCUUAAGCCAAGAGGAUGGGUCUUCUACAAGGUCCUGCCAAGUGAUAAUGUAAGGGAGCUGAUCAGGAUGGCCUGUCUUAGGCCGAGAGAUGAUACCCCUGACUUGGUGGAUGGUAGGCAGGUCGAAAGUUCCCUCUGGCGGCCAUCCAACAUUGAAAGCUGGCCACUUGCUAGAACAAAAAACCUGCCACCGACCCUUUCAGACUUCAACACUGAGGUUGUUAGCUCUUACCCUGACAUCCUUAAAGUGAUCAAUCAUAAUACUUACUGGAGUAGUCUGAGUCUGUCCCAUAACAUCUGUCCAGUAAGUCCACAGAACAAAACAGAGAAACACAGAAACAAAGGGCCCCUAGAAACAGUCUUCCAACUCUGUGGAAGCAAAACUGAAAGCUAGACGACGGCCUCAUGCUGACCAGCGGGAGCGACCCACCUUGUCUCAGACCUUUCAGGGGAUUCCACAUCUCUCCAGAAGGGAGGAUCGGAAUGUCUUCUGAAACUCCCGGCCUGUGGUCUUCCAGUGUGCCCACUUAGACCAUGCCGGCACUACCAGAAUUUCAGAAAUGAGCUCACACAGAAGAGACAGGGAAUGAACAGACACUAAUGGUGGCCAGUCAGGCUCUCCGGGUCGGGGGUCCCUUGGGGGUCUUGAGGAUCCCGGAUGAGCCCCCAAAUGUUAUGCCCAGAAUUCGUGAUCCCCAAAGUCCACCAGGGAGCCGAGUCCAAUGCAGGAGCAAAGAGUCUUAUUUAAGGUAGCUCGAGCUCAAUCCUCUACGUGUACCGACGAAGUGGUGAGAUGCCAGAGAGAGAGUGGGUUUUAAAAGCACAAAGGUUUUAUAGGGAUCUAGGUGCGGUUGGUGAGGUAAUGGUCAUGGCCUUAGCCGAUUGGGUCAGAGUCCCGUUGCCAGGUGUGGUUUGAACGGGAAGUUUGAAUAGGUGAGUGGGAAUUUACUCAAGGGGAGGAGGCGUGGUCUGCAGUUUGAGCGGGAAUUUCUUUCUGUGGCCAUGUCGGGGACAUAGUCACUCAAGAUGGAGGACACAGAACAACAUGGAGUCAGCUGGCCUAGGUCUGCUCUUUCAUUUAGAAUCUGAGAAUUGGACUCUUCAGUAACCAGAAAAUGCUGAGGCAACGUUGUAUGCUGCGUUUCUCUUUGGAUGGACAAAAAACUUUGCCCCGAAGGUUGGCUGUGAACUUUCAGAAUUAGAGGAGAGAAUGUCCAUAUGAAGAUGAUCUCAUUAUUAACCAACCUGUUCUUUUUUCUCUCCCAAUCCCCACCACUGAGGAGCUUGCCUCUUCUCCAUUGAAGUUUUGGGUGAUGGGGGGGGGGGUCUAGAGCCAACGACCAAGAAAGAAUUCUUGAAGACCUCAUUGGUGCAAAAAGUGGUUUUACUAAAGCAUGGGGGCAGGAUCCAUGUGCAGGAAGAGGUGCAUGGCAAGUGGGUGGGGGUGGGGGUGGUGGUGACUGUUGGAUGGAGUCCAGAGAUAAAGUCAAGGAAAUUUACAAAGAGACCUCCAUAUGGUAAAGACUUAUUGGAGACCUAGCUAUUGUCAAGCUAAGGUUGUUUUUCCCUCUAGCAAAGCAUUAACAUUAAUAUGGUAGGGAGUUGCUGGACUUCAGGCUGUUGGUAGGAUUGCCUUUUUUAUGUAGCUUAAUAAGGUAUUUAUGAACUGAUGAAGACUCUACCAAUUUAGCCAUUUGUUUUCUGUCCUUGUCUUUGGACAGCCAGGAAGGCCUGAGGAAUGUCCUAUAUUCCACCCUGGGGGAGGGGGGUUGGGUAAUGCUAGUUUGUGCUUGGCCCUCAGCUUGCUUUUAAGCCCCCUCCUCAUCCAUGACUCAAUUUUGAGUAUUGGGGGGUGGGGUGGGGGACAUUUCUUCCUGGUGGGCUACAUAAGUGUUCAAAAUGGCAAGGAUCUCUUGGAAGAUUUGUCAAAAAUGGGUUUAGAAACAUGAAUAACCGGUCCCAGUGCAGCUUGAGAGAGGCUGGAACUUUGUUUUGCUCAAGUUUGACUCCAGGUCUGACAGCCAUCACCUUGAGCAAGUUACUAAAGCCCCCAAACUGUCAUCUUAAGAAUCGUCCCUGACUCAGCCUAAGGAGUGACUAUGUUAGACCUAGUACCUAACACAGAGAAAGCCCUCAAUUAUCCUGAUGUAGGCACUAUUGCCCUAAUGGAGUCUUGAGAGAAGGAUUCUUUCUCUAGCCUUAAACUUUCCAUGGACCUAGGUUUGCAUGCAUGGCAGCAUGCCGGGGAUUAAUUUACUUGCAAUUUCUUCCUUUCUUGAUUUUUUAGCAAUAAAAUACUCCAUAAAAAUGGGAGGUUGAUGAAAUUAUGUAAGUUAAGAGGGUUCCUUCCCCAAGCCCUCUGAUUCAUUCCCAGAACAAUCGUUUGAGAAGAGCUUUGUAAACUAGACCAGGGGCUUUGUAAAUGUCCUGGGGCAGGACUGUGAAAUGCUUCAGCUAAGGGAUACUGAUCUUAUAAAAGAUCUGCUCCGCCCACACCUAACCAAAGAGCUGAUUUCAUUAUAAGGCUGUGUCAUUUGGCUGCCCUCCAGGGUCUCUGAACAUUCUGGGAAGAAGGGAAUGGAAGAUGUGCUUUAUUGCAUUGCUCAAGCUCCCGUGAAACAGCAAAAGGGCAGAAACAGCAGUCUGAGAUGUUGGCAAUAAUUGCUGUUUAAUUCUAGAUCUGUUGUGUCAGAACCGUACCGAAGGCAUAUGAUGGGGCCUCAUCUACGGCAAAUGGUGUCAGUGUGCGUAUUGGCGGAAUGUGUCGUCUGUGUGUAUCCUUGCAAAUUACAUUUUUCAGUGUAAGCAGUAAUUCUGCCAAACAAUUACAAUGUUUACCGAAUGUGAUGCAAUCCAUCUGUUGAAAAGGCUUUUCUGUAUUUAGGCUGAUAAAAACAUAAAACAGUUGAAGACUUAACAAAACCCAUGGAUCUUGAUUUUGGGGGAGAGUGUCAUGUUCUUUCUAGUCUGCACAAUGGCAGUUGAUGGUGAAAGGUGUCCAAGCCUUGCUGGGCUCUGACGAAUUCUGUGGGAGGGGGAGAUGGCAACACUAUCCAGGCUCAACUGCCUUUCCUAAUCUACCUUCCUGCUAGGAACGGACACCAACGCAAGGUCAAGAGCAAUGCAAAGUAUUGAAAGUACAUGUUCUCCUCCCUCCGUUGCUAGUUCCUGCCUUACGGUUAAACUUGGCACGGUGUUGAUAGUGACUCAAAGCACGUUGAAGAGCCUUUCUACCGUGAGAGGUUGACUUUAUGAUGGGGGUGAGCUCAAAGCCCAUGAACUAUAGGUACUUUAUGUGAGAAAUGAGCCUGCUGCUGCAGUCAGAGGAGGAUACAAGAGACUUGGAGCACAGUGAAACAAGGCUUUCAUCAAGGUUUUGCAAGAGCAGGUGUCUGAUGGACGGGCACAAUCUGGGCAGUCAGAGCAGGUGAUUUUUUUUUUCCUAGCAUGCAGGUCCUUCUCCUCGUUCCUCAUUGGCUGAGGAUUAGAGGUUGCAGCCUUACCAGCCUCUCCCCCCACCCCCCCCCAACGUGUCACCUAUGCCCGUAUAAGGCAAAAAGUAGUCUGAUGAGAACAAACAUCUAUUCUCUGAGGUGAGGCGGAGACUUUCAGUCCCUCCUCCUUGUAUUCUAUGGUGCAUGCUCACUGCAAAGCCCAUGAAAACAAGCCCUGACUGAGAGGGAAAGAAGAACCAGCAAGUGAAGUGUCAAAAGGCUUGGGACUCCUUUGUGGGCAGGGGGACGGUGGUUUGCACCUAUUUCUAGUAGGUUGUAGAUCUCCCGCUAAGUGGACAGCACAGCUUUUUAUCUAUUUCUGAAAAUGACUCCUCUCCCUUCUCACACUUCACAAAUGUUAACUUUUUCCGAGACUUCGUUUGGGGUCCCCCAGAUACAGACCCGGAGACAAAGACUUGAUACAAGAGGUUUAUUUGGGAGGAGCAGCAAACACAGGGGAAUGAAGAAGAGACAGAGGGAAUAUGGGUAGUAAGUGAACGUAUUAAGCUAGCUACCACCAUUGGUGGCUGGAGCUUACUCUCUGAAUGAUCUAGUAUACAUCCCUCAGGAUUCUCCCCACUGAGUCAAGAGAGCUGAGGCAUUUAUGUCCACAUUCUCAGGCAGCCUUGAUUAAGCUCUGCUGCCGGGUGCUGGUCCUUAACAGCUAACCUACCACGUGUGCGGCAGCAAAGCAGCCUUCUGGAAGUGUGCCUAGAGGAUGCUGGGAGCUGACUGGAACACAAUAAAACUGUAAACUCUGAGUGAUAAAGGCUGUACUGAUGAUGUCUGCCUUAGUCUGUUCCCAUUUCUUUUAGAGGAAAUAUCAAUCAAUACUACUACUAUGACAAGAUUUGUACUUGAGGGUCAUACGGGCAGUGAAACCUAGCUUCAAGUGGGGGGCGGGACCAAGAGGACUUGAAGUGUUGGUAUGGCAAGCAACCUUCUCUGGUGGUCUGCUUUGGUAAAGCCCAUGGGAGGGAGCAGUCUGAGCCUACAAUGGGGGAGGUACAACCUACUCCCUUGAAGCUAGGACUUUGUGUUCCCACUAGUUCAUAUGGCUCUUGCGAAUUUCUCCCUUAAGAUCAUGUAACUGGUAAGUGGUGAAGCGAAGUUUCAAACACCAGUCCAUCUGCUAUUAAAACCCGUGGUAUGAUUAUUGUACAUGAAACACCAUCCCCUACGGCAGUGGUUCCCAACCAUGGUAGGGAUGACAGCUGUGCUCCCCAGGAAACAUUUGGCAAUGACUGGAGAUAGUUCUGUUAUCACAACUUGGCCAUUACUGGCAUCUGGUGAGUAGAGGCCGGGGAUGCUGCCUAAUCCUGCACAAUGAACAGGAGAGUGCCUUCAAUAAAGAAUUAUCUGGCCAAAACGUCAGUAAUGUGUAAGGUUGAGAAAGCUUUCCCUAAAGGUUAAAGGCACGGGUUCUGGUCCUCCUACCUACUGAGAGUAUUAUUAGGGAGCCCAAAGUCCCUCUGGUCCUCUCUCACAAAAAGGAGAGGUAUGAAUUCUUAAUACGUGGGUCUUGGAGCACCUGGGUGGCUUAGUCUGACUUUGGUUCAGGUCAUGAUCUUGCAGUUCCUAGGUUCAAGUCCCACAUUGGGCUCUGUGCUGACAGCUGGGAGCCUGGAGCCCGCUUCAGAGUCUGUCUGUCUCUCUGAUUCCCCAACCCUACUUGGAGAAUCUUCAUUACACAAUGGUUUCUAGAACUGGUAAAAACUGUUGAUCGUUUUAGAUAUGUAAUAUGCUUUAAGUGACUCCAAAUAGAAGCUGCUAUCAUGACUACGUGUGCUGAUUUCAUCAGUAGAACCAGCCUUGGCAGAGAAGUCAGAUCGUUCAGAAUAUAACCAGAUUGGGAAGUUGAUAGAGGUGGACGUUGUAGGCUGGGAUAUGGAGACAUUUGGUGGCUAUAAGCUUUAAUGCCCUGUCCUGAUGAAUGGUUUUGUGACUACAGUAGACUGUGGGACUUCAGUUACUGUAUAAAAUCUUAGUUAAUGCUGUCUAUAAAAUGCUGGGAAUAGGGCGUUUAUCACAGCAAGCUUGUUGGAUUUAUUUCCGUAUUCUCAAAGCACAGCCUCGUGUUAGUCACAGGAUUUAACAAAUGUUGACUACAUGGACUGAAGUUGCAGUGAAAGAGCUUUUCUUUUCUUUUUUUUUAUUUUUUUUAAAUGUUUGUUUCUAAGAGCAAGAGAGAGCAUAAGUGGUGAAGGGGCAGAGAGAGGCAGACCUAGAAUCCAAGGCAGGCUGAGCUGUCAUCACAAAGCCUGACACGGGGCUCUAACCCAUGGACCACAAGAUCAUGCCCUGAGCUGGAGUUGACACUUAAGCAACUGAGCCACACAGGUGCCCUGUGAACGAACUUUUCUAAUGGGACAGUUGGGUAGAUGGCCUGGACUAGGCAAUUGGAAUGGGGCACCUACAAGCAUAGUGACUCUGACAAUCUUCUCAAGCUCAUCCAAACCUUCGUGAGAGUUAGAAGAUAAAGUGCAGUCAGCUGCCUUAGACUCACUCAGAUCUUCUUUCCUGGGUCAGCAGGUCUAUCAAUCACAUGUGGGAUGCUAAGAGUUCAGAUGUAUGUUUCUCCAGAAAGUUGCCCUUAGCUGAUGAGCACCACUUCCUGUAGAAAUGUCCCCAGGGGUGGCCCAAGACCAACAACUGACUGAUGCUGGGAUACAAAAGCACAGAUCACUUGCCUCAGGUGAUUGCUACUGAAAGUACUCCUUCAAGUUACUCCUACAAGAAUCCCAGAGCUUAGGAAACCCGACUUAAACCCUUGGCACCAGGAAUGAGGCUCAAAAUCUACAUGUGUGGAUGUCCUUGUCCAGAAGCUGCUGGCUUUGUAAAGUGGCUAAACAACCUCUUGAAGGCAUAACUCAAGUGCCAGCUGGAGUUACCUACAAGGAGGGGGGACUAUCCUUUUGGAUGCAGAAUUUACCUUAAACCAAUGGCUACUACGUGUUGCUGGCCUCCCACUAGUAAAACACUUCACAUGGCUCUGGGAGCCAAGACGGGGUAAGUAGGGAUGCUUUUCAAGGUGGGAUGACUUUGAUCCCUUCAUACCCCCCAUGCUCUUGAUAGAAUGAAGUCUGAGCUACACCUUCAGGUAAAAUCACAUCUUUGAACUUGGGUCUUGUCUUCCUUCCCUCCCCUUCUAUGCAUGGUUCUCUUUUAGGGCGGUUCCCUCGCUUUGAUGAGGAUCUGGAUCCACUUUGACAGAUCUGUCUGGAUCUGCUUCUAAAGAAUUUAUCUCAGGGUUAAAACAAGACCUCUAAAUCCAAAGAAUACAGAGAUGAUUUCAAAGUCUGUCCACCAUUUAUAGACCUAGAAGACUCUGACCCUUGAUUAGCCAGUUAAGGAAGUAGAGAUGCUGUGAGAGAGCAAGUUAUCCAUAAUUACCUAGAAGCAAAGCUGACCCUGAACCUGCAGCCGACUCUAGAGGUGUCUUUACUUCCUGCUGCAGCAUUUCCUGCUGGCUGCUCAGGCUAUCUGUUAACACUUAAGGACUCAAUAAUUUCCUGCAGGGUCUCACCACCUUUUAGCUUCUCCCUCCUGGUCUGGCUGGUCAGGGAAGAUAGCAUAUGACAAUCACCAGUGGUGUCUUGGAUGGGUCACAGGAAGCUAGAACUGUUCCUCUAGAAAGGUCCUUUCAGCCCUAGACUGUCCACAGCUAUGACCUAGUGUUUCUUCUUAGAGCUAGACCUGUCAGGCAGGUGCUCAGGUAUUUCUAGCUGUCGCCCAGUUCCAAAGAUGCUCUGGAGCAUUUUUCAUCACACACAUCGAUCAUUUCUUCAGGAAGUUGAUUUGGUUUCACUUCAUUGAAGUCAAUCCUCUUAGCAGCCAUAGCUCUAGAGCUAGUCAAGUGAGCUUAUUUAUAUCUCUUGAAGUACCAAAUCUAUGGAUAUACUUUGUUCCAGCCUUCUGAAAGGGACUCUAAAGGGCACCUGGGUGACUCGGUCGGUUAAGCAUCCAACUCUUGACUUUGGGCUCGGGUCGUGAUCUCAAGGUUCAUGGGAUCAAGCCUUGCAUUGGGCUUUGUACUCACAGUGCUGACUCUGCUUGGGAUUCUCUCUCUCCCCCUCUCUGCCCCUCCACCACUCAUGCUCUUUCAAAAUAUUAAAUGAAAUGGACUUUGAGAGUGAGGGAAGUAUUGAAUAGAUGGAGCAAGUACUGAUGAGAAAGGUGGUUCCUCACUUGAGCAAUUCUGCAGUAAGCCUGUGUGCUGAUGUCCACUCUAUUCCACAAGUUCAAUGGCCAGGCCAGCUCUUAAGCCACAUAGGUCAGGUUUCAAAGUCAAACGGACUGGACUUGAUGUGCAUGAGCUAUUCUAGGCCUGGCAGACCUAAUGAAAAGACUUGAGGCACACGAGAAGGUAUUUAAAAGAUCAGUUUGGGGGCACCUGGGUGGCUCAGUCGGUUAAGUGUCUGACUUGGGCUCAGGUCAUGAGCUCUUGGUCUGUGUGCAUUUGAGCCCCAUGUCGGGCCCUGUGCUGACAGCUCGGAGCCUGGAGCCUGCUUUGGAUUCUGUGUCUCCCUCUGUCUCUGCCCCUCCCCACUCACCCUCAGUCUUGGUCUCUCAAACAAAAAAAUAAUCAACACUUAAAAGAUCAGUUUGGCAGUGAGUGUCAAGAAAGGAUUUAAGGAUGUUUUCUGCUCUCCAGUCAGAGAUUUGUUAUACCAGACAGAAAUGGCACGACCCUUCUGCGAUGCCCUGGAUUCAUUUCAGCUUGUUUGUUCUCCUCGUCUUGACCAACAACCAUGAGACCCACCGGAAGCCAGCUAGUUCCUUGCCCUGGAACCGUCAGGGUUGCCAUUCCCGAGCCAGGCUGACCACCUGCAUGCUUGGAGUUGUGGGCUCCUUCUGCCACUUCUAGUCAAGAGUGAGACCUCAGACCUCAGGGCAUAGGCUCUUGCACCCCAAGCAGCCGAAAGGGGGGGAGGGGCAGGUGAUAAAACUCCCUCCCUCUGGUCAAAGCAAAUUUUGACCAGAAGGAAAUGAGACAUGGGAGAUGGCUGGGGAGAUUAAAAAAAAAAAAAAAAGAAAAAAGAAAAAAGAAAAACGUCUUCCCUGUGAUGAACUACUCUGGUUCGGUUUGUCCUCAUGCCUCUCUGGAGAAGUCUCGCACGUUGUCCAAAUGCAUGUGCCAAGCAAUACGCUACGUCGCUUCAGUUUAUCACCAGGUGGGUGCUGGUAUGAUAUUGUACCCCUUCACGUUGCUUCCCUUCUUUGUUGCCUCACUUCCCUUUUUCCUCAUCCUUGCUAAUUGGGCUGGGUAUCCCUUAAAUACAUCAUUAGCACUUUAAUCCUUUUCUCAGGAUCUGCUUUCUGGAGAACACUGGCUCACUUUUGAGUCCUUGAUAUUUCCCGCUGAUCGUUUGUCACUGCUUGAUGGAGUGUCUUCCAUGAAGGCCGUGUUGACAACGAUGCUACCUUCUCCCCUGCCUCCUGAGCCAGCCACCCCUCUGUAUGCCAGAACUUCGGAUUUUCGUAUCUCCCAGCACUUAAUGUUUAUCAGCUUUUGCAUCUAAUAAAAAACGAAAUCUUCUAACCCCAUUCA
Felis catus (domestic cat) is the source of this 9092-nucleotide long non-coding RNA. RefSeq lists it as uncharacterized. NCBI's taxonomy places the organism in Eukaryota, Metazoa, Chordata, Mammalia, Carnivora, Felidae. The record is from RefSeq and is a predicted model, not a curated record. The transcript is spliced from 2 exons.